GUUUCUGUCUGCCGUGAUGGGAACAUUUUCUGACAAGAUGCAAAUGAAGCUGCCUCAAGUGCUCCAGAAUUAUUAUUCAUCCACAAAUAACCUCAUCUUAAGCCAUUACUUUCUAAAAUUUUUUUACUCGUUCUUUUGAAAAUGAUGCAGUGGUUUGAGACAUAGUAACUGAAGAUAUGGACACUAAAUCCCUCCAUAUUUCUAUACAGUGAAAAAUCAAUAAUGGUAAUUGGAAUCUCUGUCUCCCUCAGCCCUGAUUUAUCCUUCCUCUUUGUGGUUUAUACUUUCCAUGUAUGAACCAUAAAACUGUAAUGGAGAAACAUUUUUGCCUAUGAGGAGCAAAGAGAGCUGCUUUGCUGAAUGACUGUGAGUAAAUGAGGAUUCUUUGAAGAAGUGCAGGGCUUCUGUUCCUCCGUGUUGUGGGCAGCACACGCCUGCCCUAUUCGUCUUCGUCAUGGCUGCACCUGUGCUACAGAAUGCUCAUAGACUAGUGCUGCCCAUGCAGGGAGCCCAGAGGCUGCACUUUCUCAGUUUACCUCAUGGCUUCAGAGUGACAUGAGGCAUUGAAAUAAGUGAGCAUUGAAUCUGAGGGCUCAGGAGCCACCUUCUACCUUUGCUCCUUUGGUGACAUGCUAGAUGCCCUCUGGUAAGUCAGUUAAAUUCUUUGGGCCUCCUCUGAAAAUUGGAUCCAAUGAGGCCAACACUUCCUGUUUCACAGGGUUACAUGGGGCUCACAUGCAAUUCAAGAACAAACUUUGUAAUACGAG
RNAcentral lists this long non-coding RNA (767 nucleotides) under Homo sapiens (human). Its description in RNAcentral is "LNC_000977". The record is from RNAcentral. Lineage: Eukaryota; Metazoa; Chordata; Mammalia; Primates; Hominidae.